RNAcentral lists this small RNA (264 nucleotides) under Jaculus jaculus (lesser Egyptian jerboa). RNAcentral describes it as "7SK RNA (ENSJJAG00000003121.1)". The stretch from base 1 to 191 matches the Rfam family "7SK RNA". Rfam says of the family: 7SK was discovered as an abundant small nuclear RNA in the mid-70s but a possible function has only recently been suggested. Two independent studies have found that 7SK RNA binds the CDK9/cyclin T complex (known as elongation factor P-TEFb). The record is from RNAcentral. Lineage: Eukaryota; Metazoa; Chordata; Mammalia; Rodentia; Dipodidae.
GGAUGUGAGGGCGAUCUGGCUGCAACAUCUGUCACCCCAUUGAUGGCCAGGGUCGAUUCGGCAGAUCUGGCUGGCUAGGCGGGUGUCCCCUUCCUCCCUUACUGCUCUGUGUGCGUCCCUCCCUCCGGAAGCUGCGGGCUUGGAGGAAGAGGACGACCUUCCCCACAUAAAGGAGGAGUGGCACUCCCCCACUAGGACCUCCAUACAAGCUCUCAAUAUGGAACCAAGGAUGACUUUGAACUCCAGACCCUUCUGCCUCUACUU